RNAcentral lists this ribosomal RNA (465 nucleotides) under Vreelandella stevensii. RNAcentral's name for it is "partial 16S ribosomal RNA". It matches the Rfam family "Bacterial small subunit ribosomal RNA", at positions 338 to 795 of the family's 1533-position model. Lineage: Bacteria; Pseudomonadati; Pseudomonadota; Gammaproteobacteria; Oceanospirillales; Halomonadaceae. The record is from RNAcentral.
CCUACGGGUGGCAGCAGUGGGGAAUAUUGGACAAUGGGCGAAAGCCUGAUCCAGCCAUGCCGCGUGUGUGAAGAAGGCCUUCGGGUUGUAAAGCACUUUCAGUGGGGAAGAAAGCCUUGGGGCUAAUACCCUCGAGGAAGGACAUCACCCACAGAAGAAGCACCGGCUAACUCCGUGCCAGCAGCCGCGGUAACACGGAGGGUGCGAGCGUUAAUCGGAAUUACUGGGCGUAAAGCGCGCGUAGGCGGUCUGAUAAGCCGGUUGUGAAAGCCCCGGGCUCAACCUGGGAACGGCAUCCGGAACUGUCAGGCUAGAGUGCAGGAGAGGAAGGUAGAAUUCCCGGUGUAGCGGUGAAAUGCGUAGAGAUCGGGAGGAAUACCAGUGGCGAAGGCGGCCUUCUGGACUGACACUGACGCUGAGGUGCGAAAGCGUGGGUAGCAAACAGGAUUAGAUACCCCUGUAGUC